This is a long non-coding RNA of Ruditapes philippinarum (Manila clam), 365 nucleotides long. RefSeq lists it as uncharacterized. NCBI's taxonomy places the organism in Eukaryota, Metazoa, Mollusca, Bivalvia, Venerida, Veneridae. The transcript is spliced from 3 exons. The record is from RefSeq and is a predicted model, not a curated record.
AUUGUACUGUCAUUCCAUGUGAAAGCAAAAUUAUUGUAAAUAAACUUAUUCAGUACGGGUUUUGAUAGCAUCGGAUUGUAUCCCCUUGAUUAUCAAGCGUCGUUUGUUUGACUUUGUUAUUGUGAGAAAUGCAGGAAUGGAAACGUUUAUUUUCAACGGAUUUUUGGGGCGUUUCAAGAAAAUAAAGAAACAUGGUCAAAAUGUGGGUUGUUACUAAGAUGAACAAUUGAAAAACAUCAGUAGCUGGAAAAAAAUCAAGUCAUGUGCAGUGAAAAGAAUAAAUACAACACAGUAAUCAGAUUGGAAUCUUCUGUAGUAUUGAGAGUGGAUUUUUUUACAAUGGACCAGAACUCAUGAUUAAUGUA